Pelobates cultripes (western spadefoot toad) is the source of this 322-nucleotide non-coding RNA. Lineage: Eukaryota; Metazoa; Chordata; Amphibia; Anura; Pelobatidae. The record is from the annotation of a GenBank genome assembly.
UAAGAACAACAAAUUAAAAUUAGGUACAUGUUCCAAAACAUUUUCUUUGUAUUUAGUCUUUAAUUCCGAGCAGAAAUAUUAGAGAGGUAGAAAUAAGAACUGAUUAUAGAGUAUCCCCUGCAACUGUAUAUUUUAUAUCUGGAAUUCUAGCUACAUGUACACAUAUUUUAGUAUUAUUAUUAUUAUCGCCAUUUAUAUAGCGCCAACAGAUUCCAUAGUGCUUUACAAUAUUAUGAGAGUGGGGAUUUAACUAUAAAUAGGACAUUUACAAAAAACUUACGGGAAAAAUAAGUUGAAGAGGACCCUGCUCAAUAGAGCUUAC